AGCGAACGCUGGCGGCAGGCUUAACACAUGCAAGUCGAGCGGGCACUUUCGGGUGUCAGCGGCGGACGGGUGAGUAACGCGUGGGAACGUGCCCUCUGGUUCGGAAUAACUCAGGGAAACUUGAGCUAAUACCGGAUACGCCCUUUUGGGGAAAGGCUUGCUGCCGGAGGAUCGGCCCGCGUCUGAUUAGCUAGUUGGUGAGGUAACGGCUCACCAAGGCGACGAUCAGUAGCUGGUUUGAGAGGAUGAUCAGCCACACUGGGACUGAGACACGGCCCAGACUCCUACGGGAGGCAGCAGUGGGGAAUAUUGGACAAUGGGCGCAAGCCUGAUCCAGCCAUGCCGCGUGAGUGAUGAAGGCCUUAGGGUUGUAAAGCUCUUUUAUCCGGGACGAUAAUGACGGUACCGGAGGAAUAAGCCCCGGCUAACUUCGUG
This 435-nucleotide ribosomal RNA is filed under the name uncultured bacterium. RNAcentral describes it as "partial 16S ribosomal RNA". It matches the Rfam family "Bacterial small subunit ribosomal RNA", at positions 29 to 507 of the family's 1533-position model. The record is from RNAcentral.